UAUAAAAAGUGCUUUGAGUCUCUAUCAUUGAAUAAAUCAACACUGGUUCACAAUAGUGCAAAUUAAAGAUACCAUCAGACUAAAUUUCACAUAAAUUUAUAGACAGACAUCAAUAAUAGAUAGAAGUAAAAACUUAAGGACAAUGCAGAGAGCAGGGAGGUUAGUCAGAGAGUGAAAUCGUCUUUUUAUUUUUAUUUGUUUCUAGACCUGUAUCAAAAUUGGCUGUUUCUUGAAAUGUAAGUGAAAACAGAAUUUCAACUUCCAUUUUCUUACAUGACACAUGAGACAUAACAACAAGCCCUUGGUGUGUGAAAUUGAUAAUAAAGGACUUUGAGUUAAUGAAUGAAGGCACAUCAUAUAUAAAAGUUGUGAAUGCAUUAAAUCUGUACAGGUCAUUUACAAAACGCUUCAAGAUUUCAAGAAGAUUUAAGAAAACUAUUCAGCAAUUAAAAAUAUAUUCCUAAU
Molecule: long non-coding RNA, 465 nt
Organism: Silurus meridionalis
Lineage: Eukaryota; Metazoa; Chordata; Actinopteri; Siluriformes; Siluridae
Exons: 2
Source: RefSeq, a predicted model, not a curated record